UUCGCUUUCAGCUCCUUUCUCUUCCAUCCCAUUUCCCAUCGCUUGCUGCCUAUCAGUCGUUUGUUGCCUUCAUCUCCCAGAAGGAGGGGACGAAAGCAAGCAGUCACUGCUUCAUAAAAUGUAACGAUUUAAAGACGAGGGAUCAGCGGGGUGUCCAGCAGAUUGAGCCUCGCCCCCCAUCGAGAGACAGAGCAGCCUUUAAAAUUGAGCCCCCGCUGACAAGGGGCCCCUCUUGGCUCGUCUGAACUCCGCGCCUGAAAUGACCGCGCGCCUGGAGACCUUUUAAAGCGCUUCUUUGGCGCCCCAGAGAGAGGCUGCUGGCACGCAGGGCGAAAGCUCCCCACGGCAGCCCCUAUAUUUUCAGAUAUAUAUAAAAGAAGGGGGGUGGAUAACCCGCAUUACAACCUCUUCAAGGGUCAAGGACAGACUAGACAUGAAUAGCUUAAAAAGUUGUAUUGUUAAAUCACACAGCGUGCAAUUACACCCUCUGUCAUCUUGGCUCGGGAUUUGCUUUCAUUGAACAUCGAGUUGUUCUCAAUGAGGCGGGCAUUAGCGCUGUUGAGGAAGUGCACAGACUUUAAGGACACAUUCGCCGCCGUCGCCCCGCCCACGAUCCUCAGAAAAAAAACUUUGGAGAUCAGUGAUCCAAUUCAUAGAUUAGUCAGAUUGUGCGAACAAAAAAGGUUCUAUUAAUAAAAAUUCGUGAGGCGAAAAUCUAAAUGCCAUCGACAAUUUAUAAGCAAGACCAUACCAUGUUAAUUUUAGGAAGUGCAUUGUAACGCAAACCCAGACAUUUAGCAUUAACUGUUUAAAUUGCGCCGAAACAUAUACCUAUAUGUAUAUGUUUCAGAUGAAUAUAUUGCAUAUCCUAUUCAUUCUUUCGCAAUGACGGCUGUCUUUUUGUUCUUCUGAUUGUGUUUAGACCUCAUAUUUUUGAGGUCGUUGCAACCACAAGACGUGCCUCGGAAGGCCGCCUAAACGCUCCGGCACUGUACUAUGACGAGCACAGAGAGUUCAUGUGAUAUUUAUGUUGCCUACAGCAGAAUCUCUCUGUUCUGUUUAGCUGAACUCUUGCCAGCUCCACCAGGUCCCCCCUCUGCAGACAAUGUUACAUCUCAUUGGUUUUGCCCUAGAUAAGCUAUUUUUAAAGGAAAUAAUUAGACAUAACUGAUUUAAAUACUGCAAAGCUGACACUCUUUUUGUCCCGUAUUAACGGUAUAACGGUAUGUACAUGCUUGAUGUGCACAAAAUAUGUAUAUUUAGGAUUUUUGGUGUGGCCUCGGGUGUCAUUCUGAAUACAUGUGAGAAAUGAAUAAAUGAAUAUAAUUUUUGUGUGUUUCAUAUAUGAGAAAA
Molecule: long non-coding RNA, 1353 nt
Organism: Anguilla rostrata (American eel)
Lineage: Eukaryota; Metazoa; Chordata; Actinopteri; Anguilliformes; Anguillidae
Exons: 2
Source: RefSeq, a predicted model, not a curated record